RNAcentral lists this ribosomal RNA (368 nucleotides) under uncultured organism. Its description in RNAcentral is "bacterial SSU rRNA". It matches the Rfam family "Bacterial small subunit ribosomal RNA", at positions 526 to 896 of the family's 1533-position model. The record is from RNAcentral.
CGGAGGGUGCAAGCGUUGUCCGGAUUUAUUGGGUUUAAAGGGUGCGUAGGCGGCAGAUUAAGUCAGCGGUGAAAUUCCACAGCUCAACUGUGGAACUGCCAUUGAUACUGGUUUGCUUGAGUACAGAUGAGGUAGGCGGAAUUGACAGUGUAGCGGUGAAAUGCUUAGAUAUUGUCAAGAACACCUAUUGCGAAGGCAGCUUACUAAGCUGUAACUGACGCUGAGGCACGAAAGCGUGGGGAUCAAACAGGAUUAGAUACCCUGGUAGUCCACGCUGUAAACGAUGAUUACUCGAUGUGUGCGAUAGACAGUACGCGUCCAAGCGAAAGCGUUAAGUAAUCCACCUGGGGAGUACGCUCGCAAGAGUG